This 532-nucleotide ribosomal RNA is filed under the name uncultured bacterium. RNAcentral's name for it is "bacterial SSU rRNA". It matches the Rfam family "Bacterial small subunit ribosomal RNA", at positions 977 to 1509 of the family's 1533-position model. The record is from RNAcentral.
GGCCUUGACAUACUAAGAACUUUCCAGAGAUGGAUUGGUGCCUUCGGGAACUUAGAUACAGGUGCUGCAUGGCUGUCGUCAGCUCGUGUCGUGAGAUGUUGGGUUAAGUCCGCAACGAGCGCAACCCUUUUCCUUAUUUGCCAGCGGGUCAUGCCGGGAACUUUAAGGAUACUGCCAGUGACAAACUGGAGGAAGGCGGGGACGACGUCAAGUCAUCAUGGCCCUUACGGCCAGGGCUACACACGUGCUACAAUGGUCGGUACAAAGGGUUGCUACCUCGCGAGAGGAUGCUAAUCUCAAAAAGCCGAUCGUAGUCCGGAUCGCAGUCUGCAACUCGACUGCGUGAAGUCGGAAUCGCUAGUAAUCGCGGAUCAGAAUGCCGCGGUGAAUACGUUCCCGGGCCUUGUACACACCGCCCGUCACACCAUGGGGGUUUGUUGCACCAGAAGUAGGUAGUCUAACCGCAAGGAGGACGCUUACCACGGUGUGGCCGAUGACUGGGGUGAAGUCGUAACAAGGUAAGCGUAGAUGA